ACAAAACCAUAAAAUUAUUUAUACAGGUCGCCCCAUUAAUGACUUGGGGACUCUAGUUCCAAAAACAAACAUAAAUAAGGAAUUCAAAGAUAAAUUUUUGACUAAAGAGAUAUGGGAACUGAAGAAGGAGCAUCAACGGUUGCAAGUUGAUCCUGAUUCACAUCAAUAGGCUCAACUCCAUUAAGGGAUUCAGUAGAGGUGGUUUCAACUGGGCUUGCAGCAAUGGAUUCGAUUGGGCUUAAAGAAGAUGUGAUACCCGUAUGAGCUUCAACCACGGGAGCUUCAAUCAAGGGAUAAGGGAAGUCCUGCGAUUGCUGAGCUUGUUCUAUGAUUUCACUGACCUUAGCUAAUUUGGCUUCCAGGUUAAACUUUCUUGCCCAACUUCAAGCAGGGUAUCACGACAGGAAUUCAGAAAAGCUCAACUCACCUCAAAUUGUUCGUGACGUACUACAAAUUUGAAAUCUAUCAACUUUAAGAUCAAGCUUUCAAGCUCGUGAACCAUCAGCCGUAAGGAAAAGAAUUAGAGGGCAUCAUCUCUUUAGAUUUAGAGAUAUUUUAGAGAUUGUAACCCUAUCACUUGAAAUUGAAUAUAAUAUUUGUCGCUAUAUUUCUUGUCUUGAUUAUUAUUUUUCAGGAGCGAAAUUUAGUUGUUACAGUAUCAUAAAAAAUUCAAAGAAAAACUUGGACAAGUAAAGUCUUUAACAAAUUGCAAGAAACAGAGCGCUUCAUCACUCUUCAAUAAAGGUGGAAAUGGAAAUUUAAGAGGUACGUCUUUGGCCAAGAAUAAGAAAGGAGAUGGUCCAUGUGUUGCUCGUCAAACAAUAAAAAGAUGAGGUUCUCUAUAAGGUUCUCUAUAAAGUUCUCUUGCCAAGGUUGCAAAAACAAAACAAAAAGAUGAUAGAGAAUGGAGCUCACAGUGCUAAUUGCAUGAAGCUUUUUGGUUCUACAAGGAUCAGUGCCAAUUGCACGAAGCUCCUGAUUCAGCAGCAAGUACACCGGUGCCAACGACACGAAGCUUGCAUCUUUAAUUUGAAGACGAAGUUUGGUGAUGUCAAUACCUGAAAAACAAAACGUGAGAAGGAAUAUAGGAAAAAAGAUAUGAGAGAGAAAGGAAUUGCAAAUGGAAAAGGUUUUGUGUAUCUUCUCGC
This 1148-nucleotide long non-coding RNA is filed under the name Nicotiana benthamiana. RNAcentral describes it as "long non-coding RNA (NBEN_LNC039458)". The record is from RNAcentral. Lineage: Eukaryota; Viridiplantae; Streptophyta; Magnoliopsida; Solanales; Solanaceae.